GCUUUCGUGGUGUAGUGGUCAGCACGCUCGGCGCAUUUUUAAGAGGUCAGAGGUUCGAGUCCCGUCGAGGGCA
RNAcentral lists this transfer RNA (73 nucleotides) under Stegodyphus mimosarum. It matches the Rfam family "tRNA". From Rfam's summary of the family: Transfer RNA (tRNA) molecules are approximately 80 nucleotides in length. Their secondary structure includes four short double-helical elements and three loops (D, anti-codon, and T loops). Further hydrogen bonds mediate the characteristic L-shaped molecular structure. tRNAs have two regions of fundamental functional importance: the anti-codon, which is responsible for specific mRNA codon recognition, and the 3' end, to which the tRNAs corresponding amino acid is attached (by aminoacyl-tRNA synthetases). tRNAs cope with the degeneracy of the genetic code in two manners: having more than one tRNA (with a specific anti-codon) for a particular amino acid; and 'wobble' base-pairing, i.e. permitting non-standard base-pairing at the 3rd anti-codon position. The record is from Rfam by way of RNAcentral. Lineage: Eukaryota; Metazoa; Arthropoda; Arachnida; Araneae; Eresidae.